Molecule: non-coding RNA, 2106 nt
Organism: Danio rerio (zebrafish)
Lineage: Eukaryota; Metazoa; Chordata; Actinopteri; Cypriniformes; Danionidae
Source: Ensembl
UGCAAUCUUUAGUAUUUACCAAUGGUCUUUACUAACCAGGAAGCGUCACGCCUUCAUCCUGCGUACAUGAUUCAAUCCCACUUGGCAAACGAGAACGAGAACUUGCAUGCAGGAAAAUGCAAAGAUCAAUCAAAGAGCUGAGUGUUCGUUAUGACCCGAUCAACGAAACCAAUACUUUUACUAAUGGAGACAUAGUGGAGGGGCGAGUUGUUCUGGAAGUGACCAAAGAAAUAAACGUGGAGAAUUUGUUUGUGAAGCUGACGGGCGACGCGGACGUGCGCUGGACUGAAGGCUCAGGGGAUGACGAAAGAUCCUACAGCGACCAUGAGAGAUACUUUAAACAAAAGCAAUAUUUUAUCCAGGACAGCUCGAAGAAAGGACAAUGUGAAAAGAAUACCACACUUGUAAGUGGAGAAACUUAUGGAUCAGUGAUCAAACCAGGAAGUCAUGUCUUUCCAUUCAGAUUUCAGCUGCCUCAACAAAAUAUGCCUCCGACUUUUAAAGGAUUUCAUGGUUGGGUGAAGUACAUUGUGAUGGUAAAGCUAAAAAGGUCUUGGAAGCCAACAUCAAGUGCACAAGCAGAAAUUAACUUUGCGCCCAGAAAUUUUGGGACCAAUGACCAUUUACUGCAACCACAAUCUGGUACAGAAGACAAGAAGAUGAAACUUUUUGGCUCAGGAAAAAUGUCAAUGACCGUAACAACGGACAAAACAGGCUACAUGCUAGGUGAAAUAAUAAGGGUUUCUGUUGAUAUUGACAACUCUUCAUCACGUGAUAUCAAGCUAAAGUACAGCCUUAAACAACUACAAACGUUCAUUGCUGGAAGAAGCACUACUCAUGCACACAAGGACAUAGUCAAAGAAACUAAAGACUGCAUCCCAUCUGGAGGAAAGACACGAUUUGUGGUGGACAUCAAGCUUCCGCAUGACAUUAUGGUCACCAUUGAAAACUGCAGAAUUAUAAAAGUGCAAUACGAACUCAAGGUCUAUCUGGAUGUUUCAUUUGCUUCAGAUCCGACAGUUAAAUUCCCGGUGGUCAUUAUUCCACCUUUACAGCAGUGUCCUCCCUGGCAUGAUCCACCUCCACCAUACAUGCCACCUCAGCCUAACCUAGUGCCCUAUCCUGGUGGAGCUGCUCCACCACCUGCAGGACUGUACCCUAAUCUGUAUGAUCCAGUGCCACCCUAUCCAGGAACCGCUGCUGGGACCUUUCCGAAUCCAAAUGCCAUGCUGCCUGGUUUCCAUCCGGCUCCAUCUGCUCCAGUUUAUGAUCUAAAUCAAAGCACUAAAGAAUCUUUUCCUAAUGCGCCUCAUUAGUUUCUUUCACCAGCCAAACUGACAGCCUCUUGUACUAUGCUAUAUUAAUAAUAUUGUCAGGGUUUUACCUCAAUGCACUCAAGCUUUAUGCCUGUUAUUGUGCCUUGAAAUUUGAGCACUUUUGCAUAUCAUAGGUAAUAUACAGUAGUCUUCAUUUGAAGUUAAUCGAAAUCGUUCAUUAGUGUUGUCCUUUAAACAACAACCAUUCUUGUCUUAGGACAAUUUUGAAAAAUUAAAAAGUAUCCACUUCAAAUGUUGACACUAGCCAGCCACUUUGUUAGGUAAAUAUUGCUAAUACUGGGUUAAACCCAUCUUUUGCCCUCAGAACAGCCUUAAGAUUUAGUUCUUAGAUUAAGUUCUGGAAAUGGUUCACACCAGGACGCUUUUUGUUUGCAUUUUCUGUCAAAUAAAGUUUGAGUAAGUUUAAGUUUCUGACUAAAUAAAGGGCACCAAUGUGAUUGUGCACACCAACACGCUAAACGUGUUUUAAAGAAACGCAUCUUGUUCGUUUUUUUCUUUUCAUCUUCUCCACCAAUCAGAUUGCCACUUUCACUGAUUCUAAGUUUUUUGACAACAAUCAUGUCAACUCUCUGUCUUCUGCACCAUCUAUCGUCAAGGAGUGAUUUUGUAUACUCUUCUGCUCGACGCCAAUGAAAAUCGCUUGCAUUUGAAUCUGGAACAAAGUCUUGAAAAACGUUGACAAUAAUCCCAAACGAAAAGCGUCCAGUGUGUACGAGGCUUUAGAUUGCUAUUAAGGUAAAAUGGAUUUUAUUAAUAAAAUACUAUUUUG